Scophthalmus maximus (turbot) is the source of this 4223-nucleotide long non-coding RNA. The record is from Ensembl. Lineage: Eukaryota; Metazoa; Chordata; Actinopteri; Pleuronectiformes; Scophthalmidae.
UACGAUGUUUUUUUUAUUUAUGGUUUUACAGUUUAUAUACAUACAUGUCAUCAGUUUCUUUUUGUAUGGGCUGUCAAGCAAGGACAAUAAUCUUUGGGCUACAGGGGAUUUUUUUUUUGUUUUUUUUGGUUCUGGCAGGUUGGUUCCUGGGAAAAGUUUGGCAGCUAAGAGUUUUCCACACUGUAUCCAUGUAAAUGACAUGCUAGUGCUAUGGCGACCGUGUGUUUUUGGCUACGGACUGCUGGACAGCUCACCAAGCAGUGAACUGAGGGACCACCCCCCCCAAUCUUUACUGACAUAGCUAUCAAGGGCCACAAGGAGGGAAACAUAGCAAACAACUGGAAGAAGACAGCAAUUCACCCAAAAAGCAGAUUCCCCCCCUGUUUUUGCGGCACUGAUACAUAACUCUGCGACAAUGCAACUGAAACGUACCAUACUGGCUCUUUGCUUCCUUGGCGCAGUAGCUUUGUGUCAAGAUCAGUCAACGAAUAGCCCACAUGUCUCAUCACCUGUGACGGGAGAAACGCCAUCAGAUGUGACAUCAGGUAUGACAGCAGAGAGGCCAACUGCCCCACUUUCUACAAAUGGCCCGACUGAUAAACCCGCCGCUGCCACAACUGGUCAGUCCGCCCUACCUUCAACUGGACAAACUGGAGCCCCAGAAACCAGCGAAACCACCGUGGAUGUGGGAGAGGUUCCACCAGAAGGGCUUUCACCCGGCGCUAUAGCUGGCAUUACCAUCGGUUCUCUGGCUGGGGUGGCUGCAGUUGGUGAGUGCAGGAGCCUACACAAGCACAGACAUUACUGAUCACCUCAACCUUCUGCUUCCUCAAUUACAUACCACCCUGUUAUAAGUGCUCCUGCUAAAAGUGAUUGCUAGUAACAGGAAUGAAUGAACUAUUGUUUUGCCAAAGGUAAAUUACAUAACUACUACUUAUAAUGCUGCUUCAAACUCCUGUUAAAGAUAAAUCAUUUUAAAAAACACUGAAUAAUACUAUUUUUUUUCCAGGUGGUGGGAUCUUUGGCGCGCUGAAGUACACCGGGAGGCUCUGAGAGUAAUUCCUACCAAACAGCAAUUCAAAUUGUGAAGGAUCGUUAAAUAAAAUAUUAACUAUCCUAUAAUCUCCAACAGAUUAAUCAUUGAUCAUAAUAAUGGGACAAUGAAAAGACCCUUUGUCUGACAGGCCCAAUAAAAGUAUAUACGUAUAUUUAUCUUACUUAGAAGAUGCUUUAACGGGCCAGGAGGAAGACAUAUAUUUACAUUUGACUACCUGGCUAUUUUGAGUGUCUGGCUUUAGGUUUGGAAAUAAUCCUUGGUUGAUCAAAACAAAAGUAUUGUAAUUGUACAUUUUAUGAUAAUUAGAUGUUUUAUUUUUCUUGUUUAGCAAAUAAACUAUAGAUUGUUGUGUUUUCUUUAAAUCUCUCAAUGUCAUUUAAUAUGUUUCGGGUUUCAGGCGAUUUGUUCAACAAUGGUGAGUCAGUUUUCCUAUUGCUUAAUUUUUUAUUUUCCAUAACAGCAGUACGUGAUAAUUGGAGCAUGUGCAGUACCUAAGAUUUCACAGAAUAAUAAAGUGCCAUUAAUUUACUUCUGUGCCACUUUCUCAGUAAUUAAAAUUACAUAACCUGACCACUGAGUAAUUUGAUAGCUCACCAUUGAUGAAAAUGUUUUUCUCAUUGUUAACUGGGCUUUUGAACUGAAACUCUGCAUUUCUAUAUAUGUUUUUUUUAAAAAGUGAAAUCCCUGUUAGGAUUUAAUAAAUAACUCUGAAUCUUAUGACAUUUUUUUUAACAUUUCACAUUACAUAACAAUAGCUCAAGAUCUCUGAGCAAAGUCCAGGCAUUGAUUAUCCAAGUAUGUUCCAGGAAACCUGGUUGUUUGUUCAUUUUAUGAGUGUAUUGAGUGCACAGUAUAAUGUGUGUGUGUGUGUGUGACAGUCAUGACAAACAGAUAGGGUUAUGUAUUUCAUCUGAUUUUAGAUCUCAGUCUCAGUUCAGUGCUUCAAUUUGAAAGACUGGGCACAAAAGUUCAAUCUUGACAUUGGAAAUAGUUGAAAUAAAAUUAAUGGAAUAAUGAUUAAAAUAUUUCUCGAGCUCUCAAACACAUCUCACAAAUGGUGCUUGCUCCUUGUGGAUAUGGGUCUGGGUAAAGAUCCUCUAAUACCUCAUAUCAGAAGGGCAAAGUUCUCAUUAUGCAGUAGCCCAAGUGCUCCAAAUUUAAAUUUAUUUAAGUGCAAUAUGAUUGUGUUAUCACCUAUAACUGAUAAUGUACGCCUACUGACAAGUGGUUGUAAAACUAUUGGAUAGCGUCGGACAUUGGCUCCUGCCAGUAUAAAGUAAAAUCAACAAAUUGUAUACUUAGUGUCUGGUUCCACUUAAUACUUGUAACACGACAAAAGAAGCUAAUUUAGGCGAUUUAUUUGUGGUGACAACAAGACUAGCGCUAUAGCGCCACUUGCGGUUGGCCCCCCAUUGACGACCACUGAAGUAAUGUGCAAUAAGGGAGGUUUUUCCCUGUGGUGACCAUUCUGCCGACAUUGUUUGAAUGCAGCAACAGCCCUGCAUUUCAAUGUCGUUAAAGCUUACGACAUAUUGAACAUAUUGUCCAUAACCAUGUGUUCAUAUAUGUGUAAUCACCUGCAACAAAGAAACAAUGUUUCUUUGUCAACUCUGAAUGAGUUAAAUAUAGUUACAUGAGGUGGACCCGGCCUCCGUGUGAGUCGCCAUGUUUGCUACGUCGUAUUGAAUACGGUUGUUGCACAAAAUUGCACAGAAUACUUUGCAUACGCGCGGAAAUAGAAAUCAGUGGUGUGCCACCAUAAGGGUCCCCUGUCGGGUUCUCAGUCGUUGUGGUUUGCAACUUUACCACCAGAUGCCGCCAGAAAAUUACAAAAAUUACACACUGGGGCUUUAAAUAUAGCCGGAUAGCAUACAUUUUAUUAUCAGUAGUUAAUAAAAUGCAGUACCCACUGUCUUUUUCACCAAAUCUAGCGACGCUCAGAUUUCUCUUCAGUUACUGACCGUAACCAUUUGCUUUAAGCUGCUGGUAUAGAGUAGGUUUCUAUCACAGCUUUGUUGAUAGGGCCGAUUUAAGAGGUAAGACUGAGACUGGGAAACCAAAACAAUGAGAUUAUAAAAGAGGCUAAAAUGCCUCUUAUAUACCUCAUAAGACCUGAGUCAUAUUAAGUAUGAGAGUGAUGUGGUUUGAUUAGUCGAGCUUAGAGUAGAGUAAUUUUUAACUGGCCCCAGACUGAGGUAACAUUUAGUUGCUACCUCUAAUAUUGGAUGAAGAUUCAAUCUCAACAUUCAUUGUGGAUCUCAUUGUGGAACAGUUUAUUAGAGAACGUGUUGUGUAUACGCUGUGACCGCAGAUAUGAACCAUGGGCAGGGGAUACAUGAAAUACAUCUUCUGUCAAAUAAUCCUUUUGUCCGUUUGAGAUUUAGGGCUUAACAUACUGUUUUAAAAAAAACAACAUGUUAUUUCAGUGCGAGUUUUUGAGGACUUCACUUACAGUGAUAUAUCUACUGGUAAAAAUCUAAAGUUGAUGCGGUGAUUGUUCUCUGACAUGUAGAUAGAUUUCAAUUUUUUCAAUAUCUAUUAAAGACAAAGACGUGGGUUGCUGUAUUUUUGCCACAUAUUUAACCGAGGUGAUGAUCAGGCCAAACUUCAUCGACGUCAGGACUGCGUUUGAAAGUGGACUUUAGCCCACAGGAGGAGGCUGUCACGGUUUUAUGGUAUGGUCAUCGGCUAUGGUAGUGUCAACAUCGGGAGUGCUCGGUGAGAACACUGAAAACAACACUGCUCCCAUGCAGGCAAAUUACUGUUAAUACCCUGGGCUGUGUGAUCAGCCCAUAUGGUGUGCAUGGGAGCCAGGGGGAGUGUGUGUGUGUGUGUGUGUGUGUGUGUGUGUGUGUGUGUGUGUGUGUGUGUGUGUGUGUGUGUGUGUGUGUGUGUGUGUGUGUGUGUGUGUGUGUGUGUGUGUCUGUGUGUGUGUGUGAAUGUGCACAUGACCGGGGGGAGGGGGAGUGUCCUACCAGUGUGUGUGUUUGCAAAGAUGAAAAUGAAAAUGUUUGAGAUUAGAGAUUGAAUUAUUACAUAAUUGCAUAUUUUAGUGCAGACUCUUUUGGGUGACCCACAAGGGACAAAAUCUCCUUUUUUUAAAGAAAUGUUUUCUCAUAACGUGAGUGUACGUGUUGGUACAACUUCUCGCGCACACGCAACCACG